GAUGAACGCUGGCGGCGUGCCUAAUACAUGCAAGUCGAGCGAACAGACGAGGAGCUUGCUCCUCUGACGUUAGCGGCGGACGGGUGAGUAACACGUGGAUAACCUACCUAUAAGACUGGGAUAACUUCGGGAAACCGGAGCUAAUACCGGAUAAUAUAUUGAACCGCAUGGUUCAAUAGUGAAAGACGGUUUUGCUGUCACUUAUAGAUGGAUCCGCGCCGCAUUAGCUAGUUGGUAAGGUAACGGCUUACCAAGGCAACGAUGCGUAGCCGACCUGAGAGGGUGAUCGGCCACACUGGAACUGAGACACGGUCCAGACUCCUACGGGAGGCAGCAGUAGGGAAUCUUCCGCAAAGGGCGAAAGCUUGACGGAGCAACGCCGCGUGAGUGAUGAAGGUCUUCGGAUCGUAAAACUCUGUUAUUAGGGAAGAAAAAAUGUGUAAGUAACUAUGCACGUCUUGACGGUACCUAAUCAGAAAGCCACGGCUAACUACGUG
Molecule: ribosomal RNA, 497 nt
Filed under: uncultured bacterium
Lineage: Bacteria
Description: partial 16S ribosomal RNA
Rfam family: Bacterial small subunit ribosomal RNA
Source: RNAcentral